Molecule: small nuclear RNA, 294 nt
Filed under: Mus musculus (house mouse)
Lineage: Eukaryota; Metazoa; Chordata; Mammalia; Rodentia; Muridae
Description: 7SK RNA
Rfam family: 7SK RNA
About the family: 7SK was discovered as an abundant small nuclear RNA in the mid-70s but a possible function has only recently been suggested. Two independent studies have found that 7SK RNA binds the CDK9/cyclin T complex (known as elongation factor P-TEFb). P-TEFb activates transcription by phosphorylating the C-terminal domain of RNA polymerase II.
Source: Rfam by way of RNAcentral
GGCAUAUGAGUGAUCUGGCUACAAGACCUGCCUGCAACUGCAUAGCCUGCCAGGUUUGAGCUAGCUGAACUGGUUGUGUAGGCUGAUGUUCCUGCCCUCCCUGGAUGUGCCAUGUGCAUCCUUUCUGGAGCUGCACAGUUGGGUGAAGAAAAUGGUCUAUUAAAGGAGGACAUUCUUCAGUCAAUGGUAUAGGGGUGUACCUUUGCUCUUCUGCUUAACCCUCUAAAGAGCUUGGGAUAUUUUGAAGAUCUACCUUGCUUAGUUAAAGGAACUUUUCUUGGAAACAGAUAUUUU